AGGAGAUUCACGGCUACCAGCGGCUGGGGAUGAGGGAGUGACUGUUCAUGGGCAUGAGGGGAUUUUGGGGAAGUGACAGUGUUCUGGAACUAGAUAGCGGUGGUGUUUGCGUGGCAUCGUGAAGGUACCUAACGUCAGCGAACAGAAUACUUUAAAAUGGAUUUUGCAGGAAGUGGAAGAGGCGUGUAGAAGGUGCCAGAGGACAGACAGGAAGCCAAGAGAGGCAUGGAGAGCAGGUGCAGCAGAGAGAGCACUGUUUGCUUAGAGAUGAUUUCAUAGAGCGCUGGAUGGAAAGAAAUCUGUCCUCAGUUGCUGGGGUGGCCUCUUGACACCCCCGCUCUUCGCAACAGCCUGGAGAAGACCCCACCCCGUCUCAGCAAAUAUGAGGCGUGUCUAUCCUGCCACUCUCCACCCCAGGAGCAGGCAUUGACCUAGAUGUCUUCCCCUGCCUUCAUUGGGAGGGUGCUGAGCCACGGGUUCCACCUCUGCCAAAGGCACACCUAGGAGACUCCUCAUGUCCAGCUGAGAAGAGGGGGACACCUCCUGUCUGAGACUGCAGCUCACACUGCUGCAUGCUUCCUGGACACCAUCUCUCUGACCUUGGUCGCAUCUGCCUAGCCUGCAGCUACGUUCUCUGACCUCCAGCUCUUCCUCUUUCUCCCCUCGGUAAUACCAAAGUCUCAAGAACACAGCCCUCACUUCUAGACAGAAAGGCCUCACCAGGACCCACCUGUGUGGCCCAGGUGUGACCUCAUGUACAAACACAUCUCCCAAAAUCACCAUCUCGUCAUCAUGGAUCCUAGUACUAUCCAUGAGUUAACUCUCAUUUCUGUGUUAAUCGGGGGUGCAGCACAUUUUGGUGCAGAUUCAUUGUGGCUUUGGGGUGCCAUUUGGGACUCUCCCCCAUGCACAAUGUGUGCCUAUCUCAUCAAAUUAAAUUAGGCUUGUUUUGGCCUGGCCAGUGUCCAUUCCUUCUUUUCCGGAUAAUAGCAUCUCAGUUUUCCAU
RNAcentral lists this long non-coding RNA (1006 nucleotides) under Homo sapiens (human). RNAcentral describes it as "HSALNT0196506". Lineage: Eukaryota; Metazoa; Chordata; Mammalia; Primates; Hominidae. The record is from RNAcentral.